UACACUCCUACGGGAGGCAGCAGUGAGGAAUAUUGGACAAUGGGUGGAAGCCUGAUCCAGCCAUCCCGCGUGCAGGAAGACGGCCCUAUGGGUUGUAAACUGCUUUUAUCUGGGGAUAAACCUACUUACGUGUAAGUAGCUGAAGGUACCAGAAGAAUAAGCACCGGCUAACUCCGUGCCAGCAGCCGCGGUAAUACGGAGGGUGCAAGCGUUAUCCGGAUUUAUUGGGUUUAAAGGGUCCGUAGGCGGACUGAUAAGUCAGUGGUGAAAUCCGACAGCUUAACUGUCGAACUGCCAUUGAUACUGUUAGUCUUGAGUAAGGUUGAAGUGGCUGGAAUAAGUAGUGUAGCGGUGAAAUGCAUAGAUAUUACUUAGAACACCAAUUGCGAAGGCAGGUCACUAAGUCUUAACUGACGCUGAUGGACGAAAGCGUGGGGAGCGAACAGGAUUAGAAACCCCUGUAGUCC
RNAcentral lists this ribosomal RNA (467 nucleotides) under uncultured organism. RNAcentral describes it as "partial 16S ribosomal RNA". It matches the Rfam family "Bacterial small subunit ribosomal RNA", at positions 332 to 796 of the family's 1533-position model. The record is from RNAcentral.